RNAcentral lists this transfer RNA (72 nucleotides) under Camelus dromedarius (Arabian camel). It matches the Rfam family "tRNA". From Rfam's summary of the family: Transfer RNA (tRNA) molecules are approximately 80 nucleotides in length. Lineage: Eukaryota; Metazoa; Chordata; Mammalia; Artiodactyla; Camelidae. RNAcentral also lists the same sequence under 1 other name. The record is from Rfam by way of RNAcentral.
GUGGGUAAAGCUCGGUGGCAGAGCGUGUGUUUAGCAUGCACGAGGUCCUGGGUUCAGUCCCCAGUACCUUCA